RNAcentral lists this transfer RNA (73 nucleotides) under Ailuropoda melanoleuca (giant panda). It matches the Rfam family "tRNA". From Rfam's summary of the family: Transfer RNA (tRNA) molecules are approximately 80 nucleotides in length. Their secondary structure includes four short double-helical elements and three loops (D, anti-codon, and T loops). Lineage: Eukaryota; Metazoa; Chordata; Mammalia; Carnivora; Ursidae. The record is from Rfam by way of RNAcentral.
ACCUGGCUGGCUCAGUCGGUAGAGCAUGUGACUUUUGAUUUCAGGGUUGUGAGUGCAAGCCCCGUGUUGGGUA